UCGGGUAAUCAACAUGUAAUAUUGUUAUUUUGUUUUUCUGGUUUUCUGCAAAAUUAAAAGUUCAUACUUCAUUGUAGUAUUGUUGUUUCUUGUGCAUAUAUCAUUAGUUCUAUAAUCAACAACAAUCUUUAUUUUGGUUCACUUUUCUUUUCUGUAUACUUGAAAAGUAUAAACACAGGUAGUGUGUGUCUUUCAUCAACAGUUACAAUAAUGAACUUACAGAAAUUAUUGUUUUGGCUCAUUUUGAUAUCUGAGGUUCAAUCAAUGAUGUGGAAGAUUGGGUAAUGUCUUCUUUUCUAUUUUAUCCACCAU
Molecule: long non-coding RNA, 312 nt
Filed under: Vigna radiata
Lineage: Eukaryota; Viridiplantae; Streptophyta; Magnoliopsida; Fabales; Fabaceae
Description: long non-coding RNA (VRAD_LNC011919)
Source: RNAcentral